Molecule: long non-coding RNA, 581 nt
Filed under: Homo sapiens (human)
Lineage: Eukaryota; Metazoa; Chordata; Mammalia; Primates; Hominidae
Description: HSALNT0281338
Source: RNAcentral
CCCAUCUCCGUGGCUGAGGGCCUAGGGAGGAGGGAAAAUCCAUCCUCAGACACACUAGAUCCUCAGCGAGACCUGCUGUGGAGAGCAUCAAACGGACCGCACGCGGACCCACCUGCCUUCCAAAGUUUGGGGCGUGAGGAAGCUGAGGCACGUGGCGUUUGGUUAUGGCACAGCUGAGGGGUCUGCAGGAGACCCCAGAAAAUGCCGCUGAGGACGGAUUCACCGACGUCAUCAAAAGCCGCGCUGGUACUGACAAGACAUUGAAAUUGCUGCCGAAGUAAAUGACUAGAGGAAUAGGUAACUCUUUUUAUUUUGUAACCUAUUAUUUUUCUACCUUUCCUAAUAAAGAGAGAGAAUUGACAAAUACUGAUUUAGGAACUGUGGGCUAGUCUAAUGUGUUGUUGACAGAAGUUGAAGAGGGUAGUGAAAAAAUGAUCACGAAUUAUCGCUAAAGUUAAAUUCAAAGUAAAUUAUUUUCUAACUUCAAAACAAAACUUUAUAAACAUCUCUAGAAAAUGUUCUCUUAGUUAUGCCCAUUUUGUUUACAGUUGAUUAGAAGUAGAAUAGAAAAAUGACAGAGU